This is an RNA transcript of Elaeis guineensis (African oil palm), 4005 nucleotides long. It is a transcript of the gene named DNA mismatch repair protein PMS1, with no coding region annotated. NCBI's taxonomy places the organism in Eukaryota, Viridiplantae, Streptophyta, Magnoliopsida, Arecales, Arecaceae. The record is from RefSeq and is a predicted model, not a curated record.
UUUUUUUUGUCUUAGAAUUUUAAUUUUAAUUUUAAUUAUUUUUAUCUACUUAUUUAUUUAUUUUAGUGCGCGGUUCUCCUGGGGAAGUCUGGUUGGCGGCGCCCAUCGGGGGGCUCGAUAUCUUUCCCCAGAGGAAGAUUUCUUUUGGCGCCAAACCAUCGGUAUAAGAGAUCGAUAACCUAGGUUUUUCCCGAGACCCUAAAUCUCCGAGCGUCGUUACCAAUUUCCUCUCUGUAAUCACUCUCGCUUCCCACGAUUUCCCAUCCAGACCUCGAUCGUGUCCGUUCCCGCGUCGCGGCCUGCUCUCCCGUUCCGACCUGGAAAAGUUUGAUCUUUUUGAAUCCCUUAGGGUUUAUGCGUUCGGUUUUUGAUCUCCAUGAAUAGUUGAGCAUGCAAAGUGAGAUGGGAGGAGAAGGUGAUUCUCCAGUUAUUAAGGCCAUCAAUAAGGCAGUGGUUCACAGGAUUUCUUCGGGUCAAGUGAUUUUGGAUCUUUCAUCUGCGGUCAAGGAGUUGGUGGAGAACAGUUUGGAUGCCGGUGCGACCAGCAUUGAGAUAAGUCUCAAGGAAUACGGUGAAGAACAUUUCAAAGUUAUAGAUAAUGGCUGCGGCAUCUCACCCAGUAAUUUUCAGGCCCUUGCUCUUAAGCAUCAUACAUCCAAAAUAGCAGAUUUUUCUGAUCUUCACACUUUGACAACAUUUGGCUUCAGAGGAGAGGCACUAAGUUCCCUUUGUGCAUUGGGGAAGUUGACUGUGGAAACAAGAACAAAAAAUGAGUUUGUUGGCACACAUUUGACAUUUGAUCAUUCAGGUUUAGUAACAAAUGAAAGGAAAACUGCACGCCAAGUUGGCACCACUGUGACUGUUGAGAAAUUAUUCUCCACUUUGCCUGUGCGAAGUAAGGAAUUUAGUCGCAACAUUCGGCGAGAAUAUGGAAAGCUUGUUUCUUUACUAAAUGCGUAUGCUAUAAUUGCAAGAGGAAUCCGAUUACUUUGCACGAACUCAACUAGCAGAAGUUCAAAAACUGUGGUGCUUAAAACUCAAGGAAGCAGUUCAAUAAAAGAUAAUAUCAUAACUGUCUUUGGUUUAAACACCUUCCAGUGCUUAGAGCCUUUGAGUUUAUGCAUAUCUGAAGGCUGCACCAUCGAGGGCUUUCUUUCCAAGCCAGGAUGUGGCAGUGGUCGUAAUUUGGGAGACAGGCAGUAUUUUUAUGUAAAUGGGAGACCUGUUGAUAUGCCAAAGGUCAGCAAACUUGUAAAUGAAUUAUAUAGACUCUCAAAUGCCAAGCAAUAUCCCAUUGCAAUCUUGAAUUUUAUUAUACCAACUACGUCUUAUGAUGUUAAUGUAACUCCUGAUAAGAGGAAAAUGUUUUUUUCUGAUGAGGACUCCCUUUUACGUUCUUUACGAGCAGCUAUAGAAAAGAUAUAUUCUCCUCAUCAGUGCAGUUAUUCUACCAACAAGAUUAAGGAGCCUGAGAAAGAGGCAGAUAUCAUUGACUCAUAUGUUUUUCAUAAUGAUGAGGAGCCCUUGGCAACACCUGAAUCUUCUAAAGGUGGUGGGCUUGUGGAAAUCGCGUCUUGUGAGGAAUUGGUUGUGGAUGAUUAUACACAAAAGACACCGCUAGUGCAGAGUCAGGACUUCCAUGAGAAAUUGGGAACUGUUCAAGGUGGCAGAAACUCUCAACCAAAGGAAUUUACUCUUAAUGCCUGUGAGAUCAACAAAUCUGAUAGUCUUUCUGCCUACCAGUAUAAGCAGUCUAGUAGCUCUGCCAAAUCAACUGCAAAAAUUGAUGGAAAGAGUGCAAAUCACCCAAGAAUAAUGAAGAGCGACAAAAUUUCUCAUUCAAAUCUUGUACAAUCUUCUCUUACAAGCUUUGUGGCUCUAAGUAAGAGGAAGCAUGAAAAUAGAUGCAGUGUGUUGUCUGAAAUGCCUGUUCUGAGAAACGAAAAUAUUUCCUGUCAAGUCAGAAAAAUAAGUUCAGAAAUGCAUGCUUCAGUCUCAAGAUCCCAUAUGUGUAAUGUUCAAGGGGAUAAUUCUCCUGAAGCCAGCACAGAAACAUUAGAGGAGUACCAUGUAUCAGCGAAUAUCUCCAGCAGAGAGGAGAUUUCCCUUUCUGGUAAAUAUGAUAUGUGUGACGGAGGAUCUAGCGGGAAUUCAGGAUUACAGGAUAAUCCAUUGCUUGCUUGGGCAAACUCGGAAUAUUCACCUGACAAAGAUUUGGAAAUAAAGUCAGCAAAACUCUCAGGCGAUCCUUCAGAGCUUGAAUCACAAUACAAUAUUAAUGACACUUUAAAACCUUGUUCCCUCAUGACUACAUCUUCAUAUUUGCAAUUUAAUAUCAGUGAUCUUAGAAGAAGAAGGCAACAGAGGCUCUCAAGAUUAUGUUCAAACAAUUCAUCAGAUGAUGGAAAAAGGAUUGCAAGGUGUUAUACCGCUGCAACACUUGCGAAUUCUCAACCAGAAAAUGAUGAGGGAAAAGCAUGCUCUUUAGCGGCAGCUAUUGUUGAGUUGGAGAGAUUUUUCAGAAAAGAAGAUUUUGGACGUAUGGAGGUUGUUGGGCAGUUCAAUCUUGGAUUUAUUAUUGGAAAGUUAGAUGAUGACUUAUUUAUUGUAGAUCAGCAUGCUGCAGAUGAAAAAUGUAAUUUCGAGCAACUCUCACAAUCAACCACCUUGAACCUACAGCCCCUACUUCAGCCAAUGAGGUUGGAAUUAUCACCAGAAGAGGAAGUAGUAGCUUCUAUGCACAUGGAAGUAAUCAGGGGAAAUGGUUUUGUGUUGAUGGAGGAUGCUCAUGCCCCACCUGGCCAUCGAUUUCUACUGAAGGCUGUGCCAUUCAGUAAAAACAUAACAUUUGGAGCUGAAGACGUGAAGGAUCUUAUUUGUACCCUUGCUGAUAGUCAAGAAGAUUGCUCGAUAAUUGGCAGUUACAAAAUGGACACUUCUGAUUCUAUAUGUCCAUCAAGAGUCCGUGCUAUGUUGGCUUCACGGGCUUGCCGGACAUCUGUUAUGAUUGGUGAUCCACUGACAAGAAAAGAGAUGCAGCGGAUACUUCAUAAUUUGGCGGACCUCAAGUCCCCCUGGAAUUGUCCACAUGGUAGGCCAACCAUGCGUCACCUUGCAGACUUGAUCAGUAUUCACAAUGCAAGGAUGAACAGAGGACCUAAUAUGAGAAUCCCUCUCCCACGGGAGUAGAGCUGAACCAAUUUCCAUGUAUCAAGAGGUAACCUUAAGACUGGGCGGAUCUCCAUUUCUCCCCUGUGACGAUUAAAAGCGGACUGAUUUCUCAUCUGUUUUUCACCCCUGUAGACACUCGUGGUUUUUGUUGCCUUGUAUUCAAGAUUUGUGAUCUUGUUGGAGGUGAUGUUGAUGCUUUAUUGUAUCUGUAUCAGCAUUAUUAAUUGAAACAGAAAAAAAGUUUUGUUUUUUUUUUUAAAAAAAAAGGGAAAUGAAGUUGAAUUGAUUGCCACAUAUACUAUGGGAACCAUUAGCCUCUGUGCAAUCCCGGCAUGACACUCUCAGGAAAGCUUUUAAGGUGCAACACAAGCAGCACAGCAUUCCUAUUGUUCAUGAAUAAUUUAGGAAGUAGAAUGCUGUCUUUGUUUAAAGUUUUGUCGCCUCAUUAGUCAGCGCAGUUCAUCAUUUCCGUGCCUCUAAUACACACUUUUUGUCUUUGGUGGGGGAGUGGGGGACACUGUGGUGGUUACUGCUCCCGUAGAUCAAGUUGUAUAUAUUCCUUUUGAAAGGUGAUCUAUUCCAGUUUUUCAGUAAAAUUUUAUAUAGUUGGCUUACUUGAUGGAGAGAAUGCGACUCCAGUGACUCAGACAAGUCAAGGCGGACUUGGACCAUGUGAAAAAUUAUUCUUGUUGCAAGACAAUGGGCUUCUGUUAUUUCUCUUGUACUGUACAUGAGAAUAUCGAAGCCUCAAACAUUCUAAAUCUCAGAGUCCUCAAGGAUAUCUGAGAAAUGGAAGUGUUCAAAAAUCUUUUUGUGAAUAGAUCGAUUGGGAGG